CCUACGGGAGGCAGCAGUCGAGAAUCAUUCACAAUGGGGGAAACUCUGAUGGUGCGACGCCGCGUGGGGGAAUGAAGGUCUUCGGAUUGUAAACCCCUGUCAUGUGGGAGCAAAUUAAAAAGAUAGUACCACAAGAGGAAGAGACGGCUAACUCUGUGCCAGCAGCCGCGGUAAUACAGAGGUCUCAAGCGUUGUUCGGAAUCACUGGGCGUAAAGCGUGCGUAGGCUGUUUCGUAAGUCGUGUGUGAAAGGCGCGGGCUCAACCCGCGGACGGCCCAUGAUACUGCGAGACUAGAGUAAUGGAGGGGGAACCGGAAUUCUCGGUGUAGCAGUGAAAUGCGUAGAUAUCGAGAGGAACACUCGUGGCGAAGGCGGGUUCCUGGACAUUAACUGACGCUGAGGCACGAAGGCCAGGGGAGCGAAAGGGAUUAGAUACCCCAGUAGUC
RNAcentral lists this ribosomal RNA (446 nucleotides) under uncultured bacterium. RNAcentral's name for it is "partial 16S ribosomal RNA". It matches the Rfam family "Bacterial small subunit ribosomal RNA", at positions 338 to 795 of the family's 1533-position model. The record is from RNAcentral.